Delphinapterus leucas (beluga whale) is the source of this 107-nucleotide small nuclear RNA. NCBI's taxonomy places the organism in Eukaryota, Metazoa, Chordata, Mammalia, Artiodactyla, Monodontidae. The record is from Ensembl.
GUGCUCACUUUGGCAGCACAUAUACUAAAAUUGGAACAAUACAGAGAAGAUUAGCAUGGCCUCUGUGCAAGGAUGACACGCAAAUUCGUGAAGCAUUCCAUAUUUUU